RNAcentral lists this ribosomal RNA (433 nucleotides) under uncultured bacterium. RNAcentral describes it as "partial 16S ribosomal RNA". It matches the Rfam family "Bacterial small subunit ribosomal RNA", at positions 29 to 507 of the family's 1533-position model. The record is from RNAcentral.
AACGAACGCUGGCGGCAGGCCUAACACAUGCAAGUCGAGCGGACACUUCGGGCUUAGCGGCGGACGGGGGAGUAACGCGUGGGAAUAUGCCCUUCUCUACGGAAUAGUCCUGGGAAACUGGGGGUAAUAACGUAUACGCCCUUUGGGGGAAAGUUAUAUCGGGGAAGGAUUAGCGCGCGUUGGAUUAGGUAGUGGGUGGGGUAAUGGCCUACCACGCGGACGAUGCAUAGCUGGUUGGAGAGGAUGACCCGCCACGCUGGAGCUGAGACACGGACCAGACUCGUACGGGAGGGAGCAGUGGGGUGUCUUAGAGGAGGGGGGCAACCCUGACGAAGCCGCGUCGGGGAAGUGAUGAAGGCGGUAGGGUUGUCAAUCUCUUUCAGCUGGGAAGUUAAUGACGGUACCAGCAGAAGAAGCCCCGGCUAACUCCGUG